UCCCUGGUGGUCUAGUGGUUAAGACACUGCCUUUCCAAUGCAAAGGGUGUGGGUUCAAUCUCUGCUCUGGGAA
Ovis aries (sheep) is the source of this 73-nucleotide transfer RNA. It matches the Rfam family "tRNA". Rfam says of the family: Transfer RNA (tRNA) molecules are approximately 80 nucleotides in length. The record is from Rfam. NCBI's taxonomy places the organism in Eukaryota, Metazoa, Chordata, Mammalia, Artiodactyla, Bovidae.